Molecule: ribosomal RNA, 694 nt
Filed under: Hymenoscyphus fraxineus
Lineage: Eukaryota; Fungi; Ascomycota; Leotiomycetes; Helotiales; Helotiaceae
Description: eukaryotic LSU rRNA
Rfam family: 5.8S ribosomal RNA (bases 396-549)
Source: RNAcentral
GGGGACGUCCUAAAGCUCUCACCACUCCCCUCCAUCAGAAACGAUGGGGGCUCGUCACAGCGUGAGAGAUGUACAAUGGGCGAUCCGCAGCGAAGCCCCGUCAGCCUACCCUGUAGGCCCGGGGACCGUUCACAGACUAGGUGGUCAUGGGCACCGCGGUGCUUAAGAUAUAGUCGGCCAGCUGGGGAAACCUGACUGCUAGCGCGUUCCGUAGGUGAACCUGCGGAAGGAUCAUUACAGAGUUCCUGCCCUCACGGGUAGAAACCCCACCCUUGUGUAUAUUAUAUUGUUGCUUUAGCAGGUCGCCCUCUGGGCGUCGGCCUCGGCUGACUGUGCCUGCUAGAGGACCCUAAAUUUUGAAAUACAGUGUCGUCUGAGUACUAUUUAAUAGUUAAAACUUUCAACAACGGAUCUCUUGGUUCUGGCAUCGAUGAAGAACGCAGCGAAAUGCGAUAAGUAAUGUGAAUUGCAGAAUUCAGUGAAUCAUCGAAUCUUUGAACGCACAUUGCGCCCCUUGGUAUUCCGGGGGGCAUGCCUGUUCGAGCGUCAUUUAGACCAACUCCCGCUCCGGCGGGGUCUUGGGCUGCGCCUUUGGGCGGGCCUUAAAACCAGUGGCGGUGCCCUAAGGCUCUACGCGUAGUAAUUCUUCUCGCGAUAGGGUCCUUGCGGUGUCUUGCCAGCAACCCCCAACUCU